UACGAAGGGGGCUAGCGUUGUUCGGAAUCACUGGGCGUAAAGCGCACGUAGGCGGAUGGUUAAGUCAGAGGUGAAAUCCCGGAGCUCAACUUCGGAACUGCCUUUGAUACUGGCUAUCUUGAGUCUGGAAGAGGUUGGUGGAACUGCGAGUGUAGAGGUGAAAUUCGUAGAUAUUCGCAAGAACACCAGUGGCGAAGGCGGCCAACUGGUCCAGUACUGACGCUGAGGUGAGAAAGCGUGGGGAGCAAACAGG
Molecule: ribosomal RNA, 253 nt
Filed under: uncultured bacterium
Lineage: Bacteria
Description: partial 16S ribosomal RNA
Rfam family: Bacterial small subunit ribosomal RNA
Source: RNAcentral